AAGCUCGUAGUGAAUUUCGGGGUUCUUCCGUUGGUCAGGCUAACAAGUCUGUACUAGCGUGUAGAAUCUCUACCUUCUGGGGAACCAUCAUGUUAUUAAUUUAGCGUGGUGGGAAACCAGGACCUUUACCUUGAAAAAAUUAGAGUGUUCAAAGCAGGCUUACGUCUGAAUACAUUAGCAUGGAAUAAUAAAAUAGGACGGUGGUCCUGUUUUGUUGGUUUCUGAAUCACCGUAAUGAUUAAUAGGGAUAGUUGGG
RNAcentral lists this ribosomal RNA (256 nucleotides) under uncultured Scutellospora. Its description in RNAcentral is "partial 18S ribosomal RNA". It matches the Rfam family "Eukaryotic small subunit ribosomal RNA", at positions 624 to 886 of the family's 1831-position model. Lineage: Eukaryota; Fungi; Glomeromycota; Glomeromycetes; Diversisporales; Gigasporaceae. The record is from RNAcentral.